UGGGCUGACUGUGGUCUGAUAGGGGUGUCAGUGGGCUGACUGUGGUCUGAUAGGGGAGUCAGUGGGCUGACUGUGGUCUGAUAGGGGAGUCAGUGGGCUGACUGUGGUCUGAUAGGGGUGUCAGUGGGCUGACUGUGGUCUGAUAGGGGUGUCAGUGGGCUGACUGUGGUCUGAUAGGGGUGUCAGUGGGCUGACUGUGGUCUGAUAGGGGUGUCAGUGAGCUGAUUGUGAUCUGAUAGGGGUGUCAGUGGGCUGACUGUGGUCUGAUAGGGGUGUCAGUGGGCUGACUGUGGUCUGAUAGGGGUGUCAGUGGGCUGACUGUGGUCUGAUAGGGGUGUCAGUGAGCUGAUUGUGAUCUGAUAGGGGUGUCAGUGAGCUUACUGUGAACGCACUGAGAGACUCUGGGUUGAGGUCAGUGAUAAAGUAGUCUACAGUACUACUGCCAAGGGAUGAGCUCUCGGUGUAGGAGGCCCCUCCGUUGACUAUGAACAGACCCAGAGCUGCAGGAUGAGCUGUAGGUGUAGGAGGCCCCUCCGUUGACUAUGAACAGACCCAGAGCUGUAGGAUGAGCUGUAGGUGUAGGAGGCCCCUCCGUUGACUAUGAACAGACCCAGAGCUGUAGGAUGAGCUGUAGGUGUAGGAGGCCCCUCCGUUGACUAUGAACAGACCCAGAGCUGCAGGAUGAGCUGUAGGUGUAGGAGGCCCCUCCGUUGACUAUGAGCAGACCCAGAGCUGCAGGAUGAGCUGUAGGUGAAGGAGGCCCCUCCGUUGACUAUGAGCAGACCCAGAGCUGCAGGAUGAGCUGUAGGUGUAGGAGGCCCCUCCGUUGACUAUGAACAGACCCAGAGCUGCAGGAUGAGCUGUAGGUGUAGGAGGCCCCUCCGUUGACUAUGAACAGACCCAGAGCUGUAGGAUGAGCUGUAGGUGAAGGAGGCCCCUCCGUUGACUAUGAACAGACCCAGAGCUGUAGGAUGAGCUGUAGGUGAAGGAGGCCCCUCCGUUGACUAUGAACAGACCCAGAGCUGCAGGAUGAGCUGUAGGUGUAGGAGGCCCCUCCGUUGACUAUGAACAGACCCAGAGCUGUAGGAUGAGCUGUAGGUGAAGGAGGCCCCUCCGUUGACUAUGAACAGACCCAGAGCUGCAGGAUGAGCUGUAGGUGAAGGAGGCCCCUCCGUUGACUAUGAACAGACCCAGAGCUGCAGGAUGAGCUGUAGGUGUAGGAGGCCCCUCCGUUGACUAUGAACAGACCCAGAGCUGUAGGAUGAGCUGUAGGUGUAGGAGGCCCCUCCGUUGACUAUGAACAGACCCAGAGCUGUAGGAUGAGCUGUAGGUGUAGGAGGCCCCUCCGUUGACUAUGAGCAGACCCAGAGCUGCAGGAUGAGCUGUAGGUGUAGGAGGCCCCUCCGUUGACUAUGAACAGACCCAGAGCUGUAGGAUGAGCUGUAGGUGUAGGAGGCCCCUCGAAGCGUUGACUAUGAACAGACCCAGAGCUGCAGGAUGAGCUGUAGGUGUAGGAGGCCCCUCCGUUGACUAUGAGCAGACCCAGAGCUGCAGGAUGAGCUGUAGGUGUAGGAGGCCCCUCCGUUGACUAUGAACAGACCCAGAGCUGCAGGAUGAGCUGUAGGUGUAGGAGGCCCCUCCGUUGACUAUGAACAGACCCAGAGCUGCAGGAUGAGCUGUAGGUGUAGGAGGCCCCUCCGUUGACUAUGAACAGACCCAGAGCUGCAGGAUGAGCUGUAGGUGUAGGAGGCCCCUCCGUUGACUAUGAACAGACCCAGAGCUGCAGGAUGAGCUGUAGGUGUAGGAGGCCCCUCCGUUGACUAUGAACAGACCCAGAGCUGCAGGAUGAGCUGUAGGUGUAGGAGGCCCCUCCGUUGACUAUGAACAGACCCAGAGCUGCAGGAUGAGCUGUAGGUGUAGGAGGCCCCUCCGUUGACUAUGAACAGACCCAGAGCUGCAGGAUGAGCUGUAGGUGAAGGAGGCCCCUCCGUUGACUAUGAACAGACCCAGAGCUGCAGGAUGAGCUGUAGGUGUAGGAGGCCCCUCGAAGCGUUUUUAGCUAGGAAGUUCUAACAUCUAACCUCUGACCUCUAACCCUUAACCUCUGACUCCAGGCUGCUGUUUUUAGCUAGGAAGAUGGUUGACUUCAGCUCUUACUUCUAAGUUACAAUAGUUACCUUGACUUCUGCUUUAAUAAUGAACACCUCUGACCUCUAACCUCUGACCUCUGACUCCAGGCUGGCCUGACGGCGCUUGCUCUCCAGACAUUCAUCAACCUGUUCCAAAACUUCAGCCUCUUCACCGAUCAGCUCGACGACAGCGCCGGUUACCACGACAACGCCCGCAGCACGCCCGUCGCCAACGGAGUCACCAUAGUAACCACCAACCCCUACCAGCAGGCCCCCCCCUUCAGCGAAACUCUGAGUCUGGACCCUUCUGCCCUCACACCCGCUCCUGUCUUCUAGAGGAGAGAGACGGAGAGAGUAGAGAGAAGAGAAAGAUGGAGAGAUGGAGAGAUGGAGAGAAGAGAGAGAUGGAGAUAGAUGUAGAGAGGGGGAGAGAGGAGAGAGAGAUGGAGAGAAGAGAUAGAGGGAGAGAUAUAGAGAGAGGCAGAGAGAGAGAGAGAGAGAGAGAGAGAGAGAGGAGAGAUGGAGAGAAGAGAGAGAUGGAGAUAGAUGUAGAGAGGGGGAGAGAGGAGAGAGAGAUGGAGAGAAGAGAUAGAGGGAGAGAUAUAGAGAGAGGCAGAGAGAGAGAGAGAGAGAGAGAGAGAGGAGAUAGAUGAGCGAGAUGCGGAGGAAUGGACAGAGAGAGAAGAGAGGGAGGAUAUGAGAAAGAAAGACAGAGAGAAUAGGAGAGAGUUUCUAGGCGUGAGACCGUUGUGACAUGACAGAGGUUGUAGCUUCAAGAUGCUGUGGGUUAGCCUGAUUGGCCGACUGAGGGUCAGGUGAUGCUGGCUCUCUGUCACCAUGGCAACUGCAUGCUCAGUCUAGGAUUCACACAGAGCAGGAACUAGAGGACACACACUCAGUGGCCAUUUUACCCAGAGAGGUAUAUAACAUUGUUGUAAAUAUAGCAGUCUACAUCACCUUAUGAAGGUCCUUUGGAACUCAGUAUUAAAGCUGUAGGAAACAGAGAGAGAGAGAGACAGAGACAGAGAGAGGGAGAGAGAGAGAGACAGAGACAGAGACAGAGACAGAGACAGAGACAGAGAGAGAGAGAAACAGAGAGAGAGACAGAGAGAGACAGAGAAACAGAGAUAAUAGAGAGAGAGAGACAGAGAGAGAGAGAGAGAGAGAGAGAGAGAGAGAGAGAGAGAGAGAGAGAGAAACAGAGAUAACAGAGAGAGAGAGAGAGAGAGAGAGAGAGAGAGAGAGAGAGAGAGAGAGAGAGAGAGAGAGAGAGAGAGAGAGAG
Oncorhynchus keta (chum salmon) is the source of this 3412-nucleotide long non-coding RNA. RefSeq lists it as uncharacterized. Lineage: Eukaryota; Metazoa; Chordata; Actinopteri; Salmoniformes; Salmonidae. The transcript has 5 exons. The record is from RefSeq and is a predicted model, not a curated record.